AACGACUCUCGGCAACGGAUAUCUCGGCUCUCGCAUCGAUGAAGAACGUAGCGAAAUGCGAUACUUGGUGUGAAUUGCAGAAUCCCGUGAACCAUCGAGUCUUUGAACGCAAGUUGCGCCCAAAGCUGUUAGGCUGAGGGCACGUCUGCCUGGGUGUCACGC
This 162-nucleotide ribosomal RNA is filed under the name Zieria smithii. Its description in RNAcentral is "5.8S ribosomal RNA". It matches the Rfam family "5.8S ribosomal RNA". From Rfam's summary of the family: 5.8S ribosomal RNA (5.8S rRNA) is a component of the large subunit of the eukaryotic ribosome. It is transcribed by RNA polymerase I as part of the 45S precursor that also contains 18S and 28S rRNA. Functionally, it is thought that 5.8S rRNA may be involved in ribosome translocation. Lineage: Eukaryota; Viridiplantae; Streptophyta; Magnoliopsida; Sapindales; Rutaceae. The record is from RNAcentral.